This 416-nucleotide ribosomal RNA is filed under the name uncultured bacterium. RNAcentral describes it as "bacterial SSU rRNA". It matches the Rfam family "Bacterial small subunit ribosomal RNA", at positions 40 to 502 of the family's 1533-position model. The record is from RNAcentral.
CGGCACGCCUAAACAUGCAAGUCGAACGAAGUAGCAAUACUUAGUGGCAGACGGGUGAGUAACAUGUAGGUAUCUGCCCUUUGGCCUGGAAUAACAUGAGGAAACUUAUGCUAAUACCGGAUAAGUCUUUACGGAGAAAGCUUUAUGCACCAUUGGAUGAGCCUGCACUUGAUUAGUUUGUUGGUGGGGUAAUGGCCUACCAAGACUUUGAUCAAUAGCUGAUUUGAGAGGAUGAUCAGCCACAUUGGGACUGAGACACGGCCCAAACUCCUACGGGAGGCAGCAGUGGGGAAUCUUGCACAAUGGAGGAAACUCUGAUGCAGCGAUGCCGCGUGAGUGAAGAAGGCCCUUGGGUUGUAAAGCUCUUUCGUCGGGGAAGAAAAUGACUGUACCCGAAUAAGAAGGUCCGGCUAACU